UUCUAGAAUUUUCCAUGACAACACUAUAUAUACAGACACUAAAGUUAAACUCUCAUAAUUAAACUUGGACAUAGACAUUGAUAGACAUUAGUAUUCACAGCAUUUGGAUUGACACUUUUAUUCUACAAACAACAUCAUACUGGAUUGUGACAUUAGUAGUGAACAUAAUAUUCAAAUUGGAUUCCGAAAGAUUUCCGGAUACAGAAAAAGAUAACUGAUUGGAC
RNAcentral lists this long non-coding RNA (224 nucleotides) under Mytilus galloprovincialis (Mediterranean mussel). Lineage: Eukaryota; Metazoa; Mollusca; Bivalvia; Mytilida; Mytilidae. The record is from RNAcentral.